ACGAACGCUGGCGGCAGGCUUAACACAUGCAAGUCGAGCGAGGGCUUCGGCCCUAGCGGCGGACGGGUGAGUAACGCGUGGGAACGUGCCCUUCUCUCUGGAAUAGCCCUGGGAAACCGGGAGUAAUGCCGGAUACGCCCCUGAGGAGUAGAUCCUCUGGGGGAAAGAUUUAUCGGGGAAGGAUCGGCCCGCGUCGGAUUAGGUAGUUGGUGGGGUAACGGCCCACCAAGCCGACGAUCCGUAGCUGGUUUGAGAGGAUGAUCAGCCACACUGGGACUGAGACACGGCCCAGACUCCUACGGGAGGCAGCAGUGGGGAAUCUUGGACAAUGGGGGCAACCCUGAUCCAGCCAUGCCGCGUGAGCGAUGAAGGCCUUAGGGUUGUAAAGCUCUUUCAGCGGGGAAGAUAAUGACGGUACCCGCAGAAGAAGCCCCGGCUAACUCCGU
Molecule: ribosomal RNA, 446 nt
Filed under: uncultured bacterium
Lineage: Bacteria
Description: bacterial SSU rRNA
Rfam family: Bacterial small subunit ribosomal RNA
Source: RNAcentral